AGGAAGCUGAUUACUUCCGGAUCUCUCUCUCCCCUGGGCCUGUAGAGAAAAGAAGUUGUCGUGGCGUGGCCUAGCUUAAGAAAUGAGCGGAGGCUUUUGAGGCAAGUGAUAAAAAAGUAGACACCAGUGAAGGUGCGCAGGACUUUUUUAACAAGUUUCCAUAUUUAAAAAAGACUCAUCGGGAGACCAUAAAGACCACCAAUAAAAAAUAAAAAAUAAAAAUCCCUUUUUUCUUUUCCCCUUAAUUAAAGCAUCCAAUCCCCAAACUGCCGAGAAAUCUCCAAUCAUGCCUGUAACCUUUUUUGGUUCGAACAAAGAAAAAAGAAGUAUAUUAUUUAGGAACUUAAUAGAACGAUCAUUUUUUUUAAAAUUUAUGGGGCAAUUAUAAUGUAUAAAAAAUUGUUUUCAAAUUAAAAAAAAAAACAGAAAUCUGGAAAAAAAAAGUAAUCUAAAAAAUUUGUUUCUAAACGUUUUUUCUUUCAGAAAUACACUUCAAUUUAAAAGCGCGCCUAUAUUUUAGCACUUUAAGCCGCUUACAAAUUGCAUAUGUGUGUGUGUGUGUGUAUUUGGAUGUUGAAUUAUUAAGAAAACAAUUGGGCCAAAUUACCUGCGGCGAACUUUGCGCACAACCUCGGAGCCUACUUCCGGCGUCGCCGCCGGCAGAGUUGUCCGCACCGCGUCUAGGCUGACGCCGCUGCGUGCCCAGGCCGAGCCGCCCCUCCGUGUCCAAGACGGAACGCUUCAGAUCUGUGGACGAGAAGAAGAGGAACGAGCUGUCAUCGCAAGUGACGAGCCGUUCACAGAUCUGAGCGCUCAGAUCGUCGAUAGCAAAGUCGGCGGCGGCUUGUUACUCACGCCGACGUCCGAGGGGCGGGCGUGAAGGUUGGAGCUCAGAUCUGCGGAGGAGAGGCCGUCCCUGGCUGAACACCGCUUUUGCGUCUCCAGAUCUGUGGACGACGGAGGGGUGGCGCGGCAGUCCGCCGUCGCUCAACAGCCAGAUCUGGAUUCUACUGCCGGGCGAAGUGGUGG
Molecule: long non-coding RNA, 1029 nt
Filed under: Eucalyptus grandis
Lineage: Eukaryota; Viridiplantae; Streptophyta; Magnoliopsida; Myrtales; Myrtaceae
Description: long non-coding RNA (EGRA_LNC001873)
Source: RNAcentral